AGGGCUGUAGCUCAGUGGUAGAGCGCCUGCUUUGCAUUCAGAAGCUGCCAGGUUCAAUCCCCCAGCGGUGUUG
Molecule: non-coding RNA, 73 nt
Organism: Podarcis lilfordi (Lilford's wall lizard)
Lineage: Eukaryota; Metazoa; Chordata; Lepidosauria; Squamata; Lacertidae
Source: the annotation of a GenBank genome assembly